GUUAAAGAUUAUUAUCAUACUUACGAUCUAUAGAGCAUAAGGUAAAUUUUGUCAAUAAUGUCAAGGAAAUGCUUGCCAUGGUUAUUACUUAUGUGAAGCUUGAGGAAUAUUUAAAUGAUCUAUUUAAAACUCAAGUACCCUUUGAGCAUUUAUCUUGGGCAAAAGUUAUCUUUCAAAAGAAAAAAAAACUCAAAAGAGCCACCUAGAUCAGUAUGAGGAUUAUCAUAUUAAUUCACGGACUUUUAUAAUUAUAUUCUUGCUUUGUCACUGGAUUGUCAUUAACUUAAUGAACAAAACACACUGUAUUGUCACAGGGACUGUAUUUUACUAUCUGGCCCUUUGACAGUCAUUGUGUAAGAGCUCUGGACCUCACACAGAUACUCUCAAAUUCUCCCUGUAUAAAGACGACUUUCAAAGGCUUUCAAAAAGACAAAGGAAGUUUACUUCUCUUUCCUUAUUGGAGUGUUUAGGAUAAAAUAUUUCCUGGGCCUAGACCAUCCAUACCCAGUUGUGGCUAUCUUUUUGGCAAUAAGUUUUGACAGAGAUUUAACAUCUGUCAUCAAUUUUGAUUUUAACUUUGAGUGACAUUGUUUAGUAUUAAAUUUGUUUAUGUAACGCCUCAUUUUUUCCCAAAGUCUUUUGAAUCCAAAAUGUCAGAAUGCUUAUUGAUGAGAGAUGAGGCUGUUAACCUUCCAAUAGAAAAGUUAGGUGUCCAUGGCCAGUAACAGUCUUAUCAGACAACUCCAUUUGGCAACAGGCCGUCUCCUUUGCUGAUGUUCAUCGUUUUCCGUAUGAGACUAAAUUAUAGCCAACAUAGCUUUGUGUUGGUUCUCUGUUAAAAA
This 842-nucleotide long non-coding RNA is filed under the name Bos taurus (domestic cattle). RNAcentral describes it as "long non-coding RNA NONBTAT016260". Lineage: Eukaryota; Metazoa; Chordata; Mammalia; Artiodactyla; Bovidae. The record is from RNAcentral.